CCUACGGGCGGCUGCAGUGGGGAAUAUUGGACAAUGGGCGAAAGCCUGAUCCAGCCAUGCCGCGUGUGUGAAGAAGGCCUUCGGGUUGUAAAGCACUUUCAGUGGGGAAGAAAGCCUUGGGGCUAAUACCCUCGAGGAAGGACAUCACCCACAGAAGAAGCACCGGCUAACUCCGUGCCAGCAGCCGCGGUAAUACGGAGGGUGCGAGCGUUAAUCGGAAUUACUGGGCGUAAAGCGCGCGUAGGCGGUCUGAUAAGCCGGUUGUGAAAGCCCCGGGCUCAACCUGGGAACGGCAUCCGGAACUGUCAGGCUAGAGUGCAGGAGAGGAAGGUAGAAUUCCCGGUGUAGCGGUGAAAUGCGUAGAGAUCGGGAGGAAUACCAGUGGCGAAGGCGGCCUUCUGGACUGACACUGACGCUGAGGUGCGAAAGCGUGGGUAGCUAACAGGAUUAGAUACCCGAGUAGUC
Molecule: ribosomal RNA, 465 nt
Filed under: Vreelandella stevensii
Lineage: Bacteria; Pseudomonadati; Pseudomonadota; Gammaproteobacteria; Oceanospirillales; Halomonadaceae
Description: partial 16S ribosomal RNA
Rfam family: Bacterial small subunit ribosomal RNA
Source: RNAcentral